UUUUUUGUAUUUUUGACUAGGGAUGGGGUUUCACCAUGUUAGCCAGGUUGGUCUUGAUCUCCGGACCUCGUGAUCCACCCUCCUAGGCCUCCCAAAGUGCUGGGAUUACAGGCGUGAGCCACUGCACCCUGCCACAUAUUUUUAUAAGAAGGAAGAAGAGGGGGAUUUGACAUACAGAGAAGGCCAUAUGAAGACACUGGCAGAGAUAGGAGUGAUAUGGUCACAAACCAAGGAAUGCCAGCAUUUGUCAAAAGCUGGAAAGGCAAAGAACAGAUUAUUCCCUGCCUAUGAAAGAGAGUAUAGCCCUGUCAAACCUUAGUUUCAGCCCAGUACUACUAAUUUUGGACCUCUGUCCUCUGGACUUUGAGAGAAGAAAUUUCUGUUGUUUUAAGCCACCUAGAUUAUAAAUUGUUUUAUUAAUAGCCAUAGAAAACUAAUACAUAUCUCCCUUCCCUCUCUUAACUACGCCAUACAUUGACAAGUAGCAUGCAAAGUACUACUUAGAUAGAUAGACUUCAGUAAAAUAAAUUCUUAUUAGAAGACAUUGUUUAUAGUGGAAUACAUGCAAACUUUGAUGUCAGACUAGUAGUUUCCAAUUAUGUGUAGGCAUUAGUCACCUAGGCAACAAUGAACAAAUCUCUGUGCCUUGUGCUCAUCUUUAAAGACUGAAAUAGUUUAGUGGGGUCUGGCACAAAUAUUUUCUUAAAAGCACUCAAGGCCUUUGCUCCUCAAAGUAUGUCCUGGGACCACCAGCAGCACUGGCAUCACUGGUGACUUUGUUAGAAAUGCAGAACUUGGGGCCCUACCCUAGAUCAUAAAUCUGCAUUUCACCAAGAUUCUCAGUGAAAUAUGUAUGCAGGAAAUAUUAACAAACACUGAUAUGGGUGAUUCCAAUGAACAACAAGGGUUGAGAAGCACUAAUUUAGAUAAGUAGUUUCAUUUUAUAUCUCUUCCACUUAUCAAGAGGAUACUCCUGACCAAUAACUUAUUUAAGUCUUAGAAUUUUAUUCUGUGGUGUAGAAAGAACUAUGCCUACUUUGCAGAGUUGUUAUAAGGGCCAGAUGUGAUAAUUAAUGGAGCGGGACCCUGGCAUAGACACUUAUUUCCAUAAGCAAAUGCAUGUCGAUAUGGGCACACAAGCAGUGAUGUCCAAAUUAAUAGCUCCCCAAACUAAGCUUCCCUAGGGUUAUCUUAUGUUAUUUAUUACCCAAUUCUGUAGAGAAUGCAAAGAAAAUAAUCUGGUACAGUCUAGAGACUGUAGAUGGAGCAGAGUUUGAAGUAGGUUAGAUGAGGCUGAAUUAAGACCUAGACCACCAUAAGCCUGAAUCUGAGUUGCAUACGGAGGAAGAAAAUAAAGUUUUGAGUCAGUCUUGAGGCUAAAGAGAAUGGAGAAAGGCAUAUUUAUUUGUAAUUUACAGUUAAGCUUUACUGAGCUGGAAAAGGACAAUAAGGUAGGUCCAUUGAUUCAGAGAUGCCAGGAAUUCAUAGAAAGAAUAAAAGGUGACCAAGUUAUUUGACUAUAGGAUUUACUGGAAAUCAGCAAACAUUGACUGGAUGAAUAGUAACUAUC
Molecule: long non-coding RNA, 1570 nt
Organism: Macaca fascicularis (crab-eating macaque)
Lineage: Eukaryota; Metazoa; Chordata; Mammalia; Primates; Cercopithecidae
Source: Ensembl